Molecule: ribosomal RNA, 495 nt
Filed under: uncultured bacterium
Lineage: Bacteria
Description: partial 16S ribosomal RNA
Rfam family: Bacterial small subunit ribosomal RNA
Source: RNAcentral
GACGGACGCUGGCGGCGUGCCUAAUACAUGCAAGUAGAACGCUGAAGGAGGAGCUUGCUCUUCUGGAUGAGUUGCGAACGGGUGAGUAACGCGUAGGUAACCUGCCUGGUAGCGGGGGAUAACUAUUGGAAACGAUAGCUAAUACCGCAUAACAGUAGAUGUUGCAUGACAUUUACUUAAAAGGUGCAAUUGCAUCACUACCAGAUGGACCUGCGUUGUAUUAGCUAGUUGGUGGGGUAACGGCUCACCAAGGCGACGAUACAUAGCCGACCUGAGAGGGUGAUCGGCCACACUGAGACUGAGACACGGCCCAGACUCCUACGGGAGGCAGCAGUAGGGAAUCUUCGGCAAUGGACGGAAGUCUGACCGAGCAACGCCGCGUGAGUGAAGAAGGUUUUCGGAUCGUAAAGCUCUGUUGUAAGAGAAGAACGAGUGUGAGAGUGGAAAGUUCACACUGUGACGGUAUCUUACCAGAAAGGGACGGCUAACUACGUG